RNAcentral lists this ribosomal RNA (256 nucleotides) under uncultured bacterium. Its description in RNAcentral is "partial 16S ribosomal RNA". It matches the Rfam family "Bacterial small subunit ribosomal RNA", at positions 116 to 353 of the family's 1533-position model. The record is from RNAcentral.
CGUAAUCAACCUGCCCUUCAGAGGGGGACGAACAGUUGGAAACGACUGCUAAUACCGCAUACGAUCCAACCUCGGCAUCGAGGAUGGAUGAAAGGUGGCCUCUAUUUAUAAGCUAUCACUGAAGGAGGGGAUUGCGUCUGAUUAGCUAGUUGGAGGGGUAACGGCCCACCAAGGCAAUGAUCAGUAGCCGGUCUGAGAGGAUGAACGGCCACAUUGGGACUGAGACACGGCCCAAACUCCUACGGGAGGCAGCAUG